This 2482-nucleotide long non-coding RNA is filed under the name Sus scrofa (pig). RNAcentral describes it as "lncRNA (ENSSSCG00015000147.1)". The record is from RNAcentral. Lineage: Eukaryota; Metazoa; Chordata; Mammalia; Artiodactyla; Suidae.
GUCUGGGCAGUUAAGGAUCUGUGAUGACACUAUCUUUUCCCACUCUCCUGACAAACACCCAGGCCUGGCUAAAAUCAGGGCGGGGUCUGUUACAGGGGGCCCAAAGCUAGCCCUUUCUUUCCUGAAUAGGUUUGAAAAAACUAAUUUGUGAAAUGGAACAGAAUUAAGUCUGGGGUAAUUGAGUAGUUCCAUUUUGUUCAUUGAAAAAAGUAUGUAUCCGAGCCUUCAAAAGAUUGAUAUAAAUUAUCAAAUAUACAAAGUAACAGGAUUUCAGAGGUAGGACUAUUAAAAAGGAAUAACUUAGGGUCAAGAGUAAAAACCUUAAAAAAUGAGGGAUAAAGGCAUUCACCUGAGGUCCUAGCUGACCCAUCUGCAGCUUUCAAGCCACAGCCCCUGCGAGUGCAUGGUAGCUGGUGAGCAGAUGUUGGGCACAGAGCUUAGAGACCAGCUCGAAAAGAGCCCAACGGCAUGUCCUGACGCUGGGAAAGCCACAAACUGCUCUAGCGAUGGCGAGGAGCUGCCUCACCACAGUCCUUUCUCACUUCAGAUGAAAGUAUUAGAAAAGGGGCCAUGGUUUAAAAUGUUAGCUCUAUGGCCACUCUGUGUUUCAGUCAACCCAAGAAACUUGAUGGUCUUGCUAUUUCACAUAAAAAUAUUUAUUUAGGGAGCUCCCCUCAUGGCACAGCAGAAACGAAUCCGACUAAGAACCAUGAGGUUGUGUGUUCAAUCCCUGGCCUUGCUCAGUGGGUUAAAGAUCUGGCACUGCUGUGAGCCAUGGUGUAGGUCAUAGUCGCGGCUCAGAUCUGGUGUUGCUAUGGCUCUGGCGUAGGCCAGCAGCUGUAGCUCCCAUUAGACCUCUAGCCUGGGAACCUCCAUAUGCCGUGGGUGCGGCCCUCAAAUGACAAGAGACAGAAAAUAAAAUUUAUUUAAUAUCUUCCCCCAAGUGCAAGCCCUGUGAUGCCACCAUCACAUGGCUUCCCUCUGUCCAGGAGAGGUUGUCAGUUUAAUAAGGGGAGACAGACAAGUGAACAAGUUAACACAGUAAUGUGCCCAGGAAAGCAUUAGAGAGUGGGUUUAGGUCACUGUGGGGCCACUACACAAAACUCAGAUAAUCCACCAGGGUGGCUUAAAGAAUCAAGAAAGGGUUCAAAAGGAGAUAGCUCUAAAAUGAAGACUUGAAAAAUGAUGGAGCCGGGCUCGGGUGGAAGUAGGGGUGUGGGUGAAGGGGUACCAUAGGGCAAGGUCUGCUCUCCAGGAGGGUAUUUGGGGGACUUCCAACAGUCACCAGGAACAGAGAACUGAAAGUGUGGAGCUAGGGUAGGUAGGUGUCUGGGUGGGUAGAUGACCCUGAUAUUUAAGGCUUCCAAGUGCCAGAAUGGGGGUUCUGGCCUCCAGCCUGUGGGUGACGGCAGUCCUUUAAAAGGAUAAGAAAGGUGAGAAAGCUCAGGAAUGAAGCAAUUUUGUCACUUUUUAAUUCAUGUUAUCCACUGGCCCUCAGACUCUCUUAAAAUAAGAAUUUGAGGUAAUACUGCAGGUAUUCACGCUGAGCACCAAAAGCUUUUAAUACCUGUUACUCAUUUCUGCUCACUUGCUCCUGUCCUAUCUUAUCUAUUUGACACCUUUAUGCUUUUAAUUGCUUGAGAUACUAGAUUAGCUCAGAAACUUGUCCCUUCCUACACGACGGUAUGUUCCCCCUGCACCUCGCUUCAGGGUCAUGAAACAUUAGAAAUUUAUCUCCUUUCUUUUGUGCCAACACCCAACUACACAACUUAAGGACUACUAAGCUAAAACCUUAUUUUAAAACCACAUUUAACCAAAUACGAGUCCAGCUUGUCCCAUGCUGUAUCCAAAGCCAUGCACCAGGCCUUACCCCUAGAUGCACCUGCAUCAGGAUUACCUGGCCCCAGCCUAGACCAUCCUGAAUGCAGAUGAACAGGAAAGAGCGCCUGGGACUCUGCAUCACCACAGCAAUGCCCCUAGGCGGUCUUUAACCUCACCGAAGUGUACAACCAACGGAUAGAGAUUGAGGCACACUCUAUAAAAACACAGCCUCCUGAGUAUUUUGAAGGUGACAGGCUCCAAAUGAAGUAGAAAUGAUUUGGGUAUUUUAGGGAAAUAGAUGUUUAUAGUCUCCCCAAACAUGAAGUUUCCUAAGCUGAAAAUGUGUUACAGUAACUGCUGUAAAAGCCUGUGUUGUUUUGCCAAAUUAAAAGAUCCUCUGGAGUCUCCCUUCUCCUCCCUCAGGACCCUCACUUCUGAUGGUGAGGUUACUCACUUCACACCUCUUCUUUACCAACGUCAGUUUCUUUUGCCAAAAGCCUUCCUUGAAAGCCUCCAGAAAAUGUGCGAGUCCCUCCUCUCUCAGGGCAAAAGCCACCUAUUCAGGAGACUGUCAUUAACAGUUAACUCAAUCAUGUACUCUUGGCUUAGCGGGACAGUAAAAAAGUACUGGCCUCUUGGAUGGGCAUUAAGGGGUGUUCAG